This 207-nucleotide small RNA is filed under the name Allobosea sp. Root381. RNAcentral describes it as "Bosea sp. Root381 Bradyrhizobiaceae sRNA BjrC174". It matches the Rfam family "Bradyrhizobiaceae sRNA BjrC174". Lineage: Bacteria; Pseudomonadati; Pseudomonadota; Alphaproteobacteria; Hyphomicrobiales; Alloboseaceae. The record is from Rfam by way of RNAcentral.
AUCACAGAUUCGUCAGCGUUGCCGCAUUUUCGCCCUCAUCAUGCCAAGUGGCCGCCCCGUUGCUCGAUUUGAAUGGGGUUACAGCCUCGACGGCUCGGCUUCGUCGAUCGUCGGUUUGUCAGCCCCCCAGCCCCCCGGGGAUCUGGUGGUGCCGGGCCAUUACUUUCGAGGCCAACUCAGCGGCUGGCGUUCUGCGCUGGCCGUUUU